Long non-coding RNA from Dermochelys coriacea (leatherback sea turtle), 3047 nucleotides. RefSeq lists it as uncharacterized. The record is from RefSeq and is a predicted model, not a curated record. Lineage: Eukaryota; Metazoa; Chordata; Testudines; Dermochelyidae. The transcript is spliced from 2 exons.
GCCGCAGCCGCAGCCCCAUGGCGGAGCGCAAGCCGGGGGCACCUGGGGGGCGGAUGCAGCUACGUUAAGAAGUUGGGGGAGGGGAGGGAACCUCCAAACUCGCCUUAAAAAUCGCCCCCAAGAGAGAGGGUGGCAGGAAAGAGCAAACUCCGGACUGAACGGAGCGAGCAGCAGGCGGCCGUGUUCGGUGCCGGGCCUGCCGGUGCGUCCCAGCCCGGGCGAGGGAGGCCAUGAGCACCGACAUGCACAGAAAACACAACAGGAGCCCUUGUGGCACCUUAGACACUAACGCAUGUAUUUGAGCAUCAGCUUUCCUGAGCUACAGCUCACUUCAGCGGAUGCCUGCAGUGGAAAAUACACAGAGCAUCACAUUGUGCUGUCCAGCUAGCUAGCGAUCCCAGGCAAGAUUGACCAGUUCUACCAGCAAAAAGGAAAGGAGGACUUGUGGCACCUUUAGAGACUAACACGUUUAUUUGAGCAUCAGCUUUCGUGAUCGGAUGAAGUGAGCUGUAGCUCACAAAAGCUGAUGCUCCAAUAUAUGUGUUAGUCUCUAAGGUGCCACAAGUCCUCCUGUUCUUUUUGCGGAUACAGACUAACAGGGCUGCUACUCUGAAACCAGUUCUACCAGGAUAGCCUCCACGUGGAUACUUUUAGUUUGGUAUAAGCAUGGGGCUUUUUUUUUUCCCAUUUAUCAUCAGCCCCUUCCUCAGUGACAUAAACUAAACCAAAAGAAGGCACUCAUUCCUAGAAGAAUGAGAUGAGACCAGAAUAACUUGUGUUGGUUUAAAGCUUAUCUUAUACCAGUAUACAUUUGAGUGUAGACAAGCCUUUAUCUGGGUGUGUACUUUGGAAGAGGGACUUUAUCUUUUUGUCUUCAUAUUUGUCUGCAAAGGACUUAUCAUUUGGAUGCUCGACAAGUCACACAGCUGGUUGAGAUUUUUCAGCUUUCUUCAAAAUCAAAAUGUGAUGCGAAAACAGUUCAGUUUUGACAUAUUUGACUCCCCCACACCCAAAAAAAGAAUAAAAGAAUAAAAAAUCAUUUUAUUUGGUUGAAAAAUUAAAUUUUUCACCACAAAUUUAUUUUUCAACAUGCUUUAAUAAAUUAUCCUGCUCUCUCCAGUUGGGAGUGGGCCAGCCCCGCUGCUUUUCAGAAACCCACUUCUGCUGAAACUUCCUUAAAAUAUAUUUCAGCUGGAGGGGUCUGUGAAAAUGAGGGAAACUUGCAGUGUACCUGGCCCCUUCUAUGAAGCUUGCUGAGGCAGCAUGGCCUGGUACGUAUAGGAUGCCAGAUUGGGACUUGGUUUGGCCAGCAAACUUUUAAAUCAAAACAAACUGAAAAAAUUCAGUCAGCUGCAGAAAACUGUAUGUUUAGCUUUAUCCCAGUGAUAAGGGUACUUGCCUGGUAUAUGGAAAAGCCAGGGUUGAAUCCCUACUCUUGCAGUGGGACUUGAACUCAAAUCUCCCUCUAUGUAGGUGAGCAGCCCAACCACCAGGCUAUAGCCUAGUCAUCUUCUCAAGCUCUCCUGUUGAAGGUCUUCCACUUCGUAUAAAGAGAUAAUUUGUCAUUGGGCCAGAAAGAACAAACAACUGUUUAGCUUGGUGAUUAAGGCACUCACCUGGGAGGUAGGAGAUGUGGAUUCAAAUCUUCUGCCUAUCUGAUUCAGAAGAGGGAUUUAAAUCCACAUCUCCUACUUCCAGGUGAAUGCCUUAAUCAUCAGACUAAAGUGUCAUUGUCACUUUCUUUGGCUUUAUAAGACUAACAACCUAAACCAACCAGCGCAAAUUCGCAUAUAGUUUUGGGUUGACCAAAACUGCGUUUUUUAGCAAAUAAACUCUUCAUCUGAAAAUUGUCACCCCACUCUACAUGGGAUAUCUGGUUUUAUUCCCAGCUCUGCCACUGACCUGCUGUGUGACCUAGGGCAUGUCACUUAUCUCUGUGCCUCUCUUUCUCUUCCCAUCUUUUGUCUGUCUUAUUUAUUUCAAUUGCAAGCUCUCUGAGGCAGGAACUGUCUGUUACUAUAUUUUCAUACAAUGCCUAGCACAAUGGGACCCCAGCCACUAUCUAUGUAUCCCUAUGGAAGGCCUCUUGGGUCUACCAUAUUACAAAUAAUAAGCAAUAAUAAUACAAAGCCGUCACAUUGGGGAGUAGAACAAGAGAGGUUCUGGACCUGCUUUCUCUUUUUGAAGCUGCAAUAUUGUCUCCAGGCAUUGAUACAUACUUAGUCUUUGGCAUCAGGCCAUAUAUACAUCUUGGGAGCUACUGUUUUUCCCUUGGGUAUUUUUGAACUAGUCUUUCCCUAUUCCCUAUAACCUUUCCCAUCAUCCUGUGGGCCUGUUUGUCUUGCCAUGUGUUGUGUGAAUUGCAUUGUGUUGCUCACUGAAUAGAAGUAAUUUUUAUUUGAAGGAGCAUGCUCUCAACCCUGACUUGGCAUUCAAAAUGUUUUUGUGUUUGAGGUUGUAUUCUGUCUUUGAUGGGUGACACUAUAAGUCCCAGCCGCCAUCCACCGUUUGUCUUCUUAUAUUUAAAACCUACCUCACAGGAAUAAGUAAAAGAUUUGUGUUACUUCUUGGCCAUGAAAGGACUGGUCGUCCAUUGCUUGUGUACAUGCAAGAUUACAGCAUUCCUCUUGAACUUCUCAGCCUCGCUAAUGGUGCUGGACCCUUGGAUAUUGCCAUUCACUACAAAGCACUUCAGUUAGAUAAUAAUCAUUGUAUUGGGCUGCUGUCCCCACCUCCCUGUGAUUUCUGGUUGCUUAACCAUGCCCAGGAAUCAGUCUGGUUAAUUAUUUGCCUUCACGUUUUCAGAAAUCCUUACCUCAACUAGAAGUAAUAGCAUUAGCUCGGGGAUUCUUUUCAUGGAAUGAAUGGAAAACUCCAACUCCACAGUAGCCUUUGUGGUAGUUCAUGCAGAAUAUGGUCCUGCUGUUUGUUCAAAUCAUGAUGGUGCUUUCUGCGGUGAGAAUCCAAGAGGCCAUUCUGUUUGUAACUUUAAUAUGCUGAGCAGUUGAAAUUAACCAUUUAUAACUGAAAUAAAGUAAAUUUUAUAG